UACGGAGGGGGCUAGCGUUGUUCGGAAUUACUGGGCGUAAAGCGCACGUAGGCGGCUUUGUAAGUUAGAGGUGAAAGCCCGGGGCUCAACUCCGGAAUUGCCUUUAAGACUGCAUCGCUAGAAUUGUGGAGAGGUGAGUGGAAUUCCUGGUGUAGCGGUGAAAUGCGUAGAUAUCAGGAGGAACACCUGUGGCGAAGGCGGCCAUCUGGACCGCAACUGACGCUGAGGCGCGAAAGCGUGGGGAGCAAACAGG
Molecule: ribosomal RNA, 253 nt
Filed under: uncultured bacterium
Lineage: Bacteria
Description: partial 16S ribosomal RNA
Rfam family: Bacterial small subunit ribosomal RNA
Source: RNAcentral